UUUCAGCGUGUGAGGAAUGACUGCACAAACUCCGAGUUGUCAUCCCAAACAAAGAGCAGCGCAGGCCACGGAUCUAAGCUCUGCGAGGAAAUCAUUCUCACCUAAAUCCCACCGAGACGAAAAAGGAUUGGAGGAUUACAGUGAGCACUCACUUAGCUCUAAUCAAAGUGCAAAGCUGCACAGGCUACAUUUGUCCUUGUUAGACAUUUACGUUGUGAGGGAGCUGCGUUUAAAGCAGAGCUGUAACACUUAGUUAAUCAGGCUUGUGAGUAAUUGCUUGCACACUUUUGCGUCUGCUUUGGAAACAUCUCCCCUUAAGAUAUAUUUUUGCUCACUCUACGCUCUUUAAUGUUUUUUUUGAACACCUCUGAAAAUGUUCACGUUGCCUUUCAGCAUGCCUUUAAUUCGGAAUGAGGGCAGACGGAAACACUCUCAUCUGAUCGGCUCCACCCUCAAAACAUGAGCGUGGAUCCUUGUUGCUUCUAUAAAGUGUUUUUGAUGGCGCCUUGUUAUCCCGGAGCACUGCGAGCGCGUCUCUGAUCUCCAUAUAGAAGGGGCCGCGUGCAGAGUUUCCUCGGGGGAUGUGACUUCUACUGCGCCGUCUCUUUGCACACAGGUAACAGGGAAGAUAGAAAGCACAGCCUGUCUCGCAUCUGCAGGGAGCAGGGGAAAGACAAAGGGAAACCCUGAAGCUGUCUCACAAAAAAAAGCAGGCAGCUCGACCCGAAGUCCGCCUCUCCCUCCACUGGGACAGAGGCUGAUGUUCAGCCCGAUGGGACGAACAGGAGCAGCUGAGGUUCACUCCAACUUUCCUCGCAGAACUGGGUGCAGCAGAGACUCUCAGUGGAUCUCACAGUAUUGUGCGGGAUGCACACAUAAAUUCACCUGCACUUGACUUACAAUAAAAUCUAGGUCAUUGCACCAACAUUUUCACUGCUUCACUGCAGGAAUUAAAGUGAUUUGUAUAACCACAAAA
This is a long non-coding RNA of Solea senegalensis (Senegalese sole), 976 nucleotides long. RefSeq lists it as uncharacterized. The record is from RefSeq and is a predicted model, not a curated record. Lineage: Eukaryota; Metazoa; Chordata; Actinopteri; Pleuronectiformes; Soleidae. The transcript is spliced from 3 exons.